GAUAUAAUAAUUUAAUUUAAGGCGGUACAGCUUCGGCGACAGACGGAUCACUGACGUUACAACCACCACCUCCUUCACUUUGUCUCGACGGAGCAACGUCAAUUCUAGCGGUGGUGACAGUUGGUGCCCGUUUCCGUUUCUUCUUCUCGUAUGGAAUCCCACGUGCCUUGGCUUGACUUUCUCUGACUUCUCUCAAGUAAAUCCUGACCGCACGUGCGGCGAAAGGGUUGGAAUCAGGCCUCCCACCGUGCUCCUCGUACGCAGCUCUCAACCGUCCGAUCAGAGCAUCGAG
Molecule: long non-coding RNA, 292 nt
Filed under: Brassica rapa (field mustard)
Lineage: Eukaryota; Viridiplantae; Streptophyta; Magnoliopsida; Brassicales; Brassicaceae
Description: long non-coding RNA (BRAP_LNC007536)
Source: RNAcentral